GCAUAGGGUGAGUAAUACGCCGUGUGUUUCAUACUCCCCUGCUAAUAUGAUAAUAAACGCAUUCAAAAAGAAAAAAAAAGAAAGAAGGAAAGAAAGAAAAAAAGCACCGAAGUGUUUACAGCGCGUCCCCGUCCUGCUCCGUGCCUCACCGUCCCGGCACCGGGAGCGGAGUGCCGUCCGGGAGGGAAGGGAGCAGAGCGGCGGCGGCCGAGGGGAAGGAGAGGCUGAAGGCAGCGCUCGUUGACUCUCAUCCCUAUCCCGAGUGCCGCCUCCUCCCGAGCGGGAGAGUUUGCGGGAGCCCCGCUACGAACCCGCAGAGCGCAAACGGCACGCGGCCGCGGUUCCCUCGAGCGCCGGCAGCGCGCAGGCAAAGGACCGUUCAUUAGGAUAAUAAUUAGCGCCGCUCUGUUUUAUCCCCAACCCGUUCGAUCUCUAUCUGUUCCGAGACAACGCUAAUAAUGGCAGCGAUUGCUUCAGUAAACAUCCUGCGCCGGCAUUCUUUCCCGUGUCAACUCAGUCUAUUCAAUGGGGGCUACUUGAAGGGCCGGAGGGACAAAGCGUGUACACAUCGCACCGCCAUUCAUUCUGGCCAGCUGGAGCGGCUGAAAAAAAAACCUUGUGAAAAGAAACGCCUCACAAUGGGCACAGAAGAAGUGCACAAUGCUAACAGUUUUCCAAAUACCGCUGAUUGGUUUCCUCACAAUGAGGAGAAAGCCGCCGCUUUUUCUUAGCUCCACUUCAACAAACAACGCUCUCACAAAACCUCCCAACCCCGGGUUUUGUUCGCGGACAAAACCUCCUCGACUGUCUAAACGCUCCCACUGCAGGACAAAAAAGAAGGAGAAGAAGACGAAGAAGAAAAGCUCUUUUCACCAUUUCCCCCUUCUCUCUCUCUCUCUCUCUCUCUCUCUUUUUUUUUUCCCUCUGCGAGAGAGAAAAGAGAAAGGGGGAGAAGGG
Long non-coding RNA from Gallus gallus (chicken), 957 nucleotides. RefSeq lists it as uncharacterized. The transcript is spliced from 3 exons. The record is from RefSeq and is a predicted model, not a curated record. NCBI's taxonomy places the organism in Eukaryota, Metazoa, Chordata, Aves, Galliformes, Phasianidae.